Molecule: long non-coding RNA, 846 nt
Filed under: Homo sapiens (human)
Lineage: Eukaryota; Metazoa; Chordata; Mammalia; Primates; Hominidae
Description: HSALNT0320344
Source: RNAcentral
CUUACUCUGCCAUUUUCCAGCUGUGUGGCUUUGGGCAAGUUAUUUAACCUCUCUGUGCCUCAACUUCUUCAUGUAAACUGGCAGUAAUAAUAAUACGAAUGCCACAGAGCUGUGGAUGAAAUGAGCCCAUUCCGGUCUGGCUUCUUUAACCAGGAAGAUGUGGGCUGAGAGCUGUGGAGUAGAUGUCUUCACCAGAUGAGUACACAGAGAAGUAGAGAAUGUGUAUCUGCAGAGUAGGAUGAAGCAGAGACAAGUCUUGUGAAUAAGGUAUUCAGGAAGCACAGCUGUCUUUUGUUCCUGAAGCCGUAUCAGGAUUCAGCAGGAAAGAGCACCAAGAUCACUUGGCAAUGUUUAUCCUGAUCAAGCACGGGCACUGAUGGCAGAUGCAGGACAAAGGACAGAACUCUAAGUCAUCCCUGUGCUCACCUGAGACAAAUGCAUGUCUGAUUGCUUCCACUGAUGUAAAAAUGCAGAUUUGCUGAGUUAGACGAAGACGAUGGCAGAGAGCAGUCUUCAUCCUGAGCCCCAUUCCUAGGUAAGUAGCUGAAUUGGGGUUUUGUUUUGGAAAUUCUCCUUAAUGGCUAAAGUUAAGAUUAACAACCAGCUGGUCUUAAUUUCUUCUUACCAUUAGAGCACUCAGUAAUCUAAUAUAAAUUAUAAAUCUAAUAUAUUAGAUUUAUUUUGGGUUUGACCAACUCUAUCUGACUUGAUCAAAUCCAAAGGAAAGUUCCAAAUUAUGGGGAAUAAGGCCUCUGAAUUGGCUACAUUCCUGCAGCUGAAAAUAAGGAAAGAAAAAAGGGAAAAAGUAAAAGCAGCCAGGCCGGGCAUGGUGGCUCAAACCUGUAA